RNAcentral lists this ribosomal RNA (492 nucleotides) under uncultured bacterium. RNAcentral describes it as "partial 16S ribosomal RNA". It matches the Rfam family "Bacterial small subunit ribosomal RNA", at positions 28 to 507 of the family's 1533-position model. The record is from RNAcentral.
GAUGAACGCUAGCUACAGGCUUAACACAUGCAAGUCGAGGGGAAACGACAUCGAAAGCUUGCUUUUGAUGGGCGUCGACCGGCGCACGGGUGAGUAACGCGUAUCCAACCUGCCCAUCACUUGGGGAUAACCUUGCGAAAGUAAGACUAAUACCCAAUGAUAUCUCUAGAAGACAUCUGAAAGAGAUUAAAGAUUUAUCGGUGAUGGAUGGGGAUGCGUCUGAUUAGCUUGUUGGCGGGGUAACGGCCCACCAAGGCAACGAUCAGUAGGGGUUCUGAGAGGAAGGUCCCCCACAUGGGAACUGAGACACGGUCCAAACUCCUACGGGAGGCAGCAGUGAGGAAUAUUGGUCAAUGGGCGAGAGCCGGAACCAGCCAAGUAGCGUGCAGGAAGACGGCCCUAUGGGUGGUAAACUGCUUUUAUAAGGGAAUAAAGUGAGAGUCGUGACUCUUUUUGUAUGUACCUUAUGAAUAAGGACCGGCUAAUUCCGUG